Molecule: transfer RNA, 64 nt
Filed under: Cavia porcellus (domestic guinea pig)
Lineage: Eukaryota; Metazoa; Chordata; Mammalia; Rodentia; Caviidae
Rfam family: tRNA
About the family: Transfer RNA (tRNA) molecules are approximately 80 nucleotides in length.
Source: Rfam by way of RNAcentral
GGGGAUUUAGCUCAGUGGCAUAAGCACCUGCCUUACAAGCAGGCGGUCGUGAAUUUGAUCCCCG